GAUGAACGCUGGCGGCGUGCCUAAUACAUGCAAGUCGAGCGAACAGACGAGGAGCUUGCUCCUCUGACGUUAGCGGCGGACGGGUGAGUAACACGUGGAUAACCUACCUAUAAGACUGGGAUAACUUCGGGAAACCGGAGCUAAUACCGGAUAAUAUAUUGAACCGCAUGGUUCAAUAGUGAAAGACGGUUUUGCUGUCACUUAUAGAUGGAUCCGCGCCGCAUUAGCUAGUUGGUAAGGUAACGGCUUACCAAGGCAACGAUGCGUAGCCGACCUGAGAGGGGGAUCGGCCACACUGGAACUGAGAAACGGUCCAGACUCCUACGGGAGGCAGCAGUAGGGAAUCUUCCGCAAUGGGCGAAAGCCUGACGGAGCAACGCCGCGUGAGUGAUGAAGGUCUUCGGAUCGUAAAACUCUGUUAUUAGGGAAGAACAAAUGUGUAAGUAACUAUGCACGUCUUGACGGUACCUAAUCAGAAAGCCACGGCUAACUACGUG
This 497-nucleotide ribosomal RNA is filed under the name uncultured bacterium. RNAcentral describes it as "partial 16S ribosomal RNA". It matches the Rfam family "Bacterial small subunit ribosomal RNA", at positions 28 to 507 of the family's 1533-position model. The record is from RNAcentral.